This 228-nucleotide ribosomal RNA is filed under the name uncultured bacterium. RNAcentral's name for it is "partial 16S ribosomal RNA". It matches the Rfam family "Bacterial small subunit ribosomal RNA", at positions 103 to 334 of the family's 1533-position model. The record is from RNAcentral.
CGGGUGAGUAAUGUCUGGGAAACUGCCUGAUGGAGGGGGAUAACUACUGGAAACGGUAGCUAAUACCGCAUAAUGUCGCAAGACCAAAGUGGGGGACCUUCGGGCCUCUUGCCAUCGGAUGUGCCCAGAUGGGAUUAGCUAGUAGGUGGGGUAACGGCUCACCUAGGCGACGAUCCCUAGCUGGUCUGAGAGGAUGACCAGCCACACUGGAACUGAGACACGGUCCAG